This 456-nucleotide ribosomal RNA is filed under the name Pterotrachea coronata. RNAcentral's name for it is "eukaryotic LSU rRNA". It matches the Rfam family "Eukaryotic large subunit ribosomal RNA", at positions 2379 to 2828 of the family's 3401-position model. Lineage: Eukaryota; Metazoa; Mollusca; Gastropoda; Littorinimorpha; Pterotracheidae. The record is from RNAcentral.
ACGGGCUUGGCGGAAUCAGCGGGGAAAGACNACCCUGUUGAGCUUGACUCUAGUCCGACUUUGUGAAGAGACAUGAGANGGUGUAGCAUAGGUGGGAGCGCAAGCGACCUUGAAAUACCACUACUUGNAUCGUUUCUUUACUUAUUCAGUGGAGCGGAGAGCGGGGCGCAAGCCCCUAGCUUCUGGAGUUAAGGCCGAGGCUUCUAGUUUCGGUCGAUCCGCUCUGAAGACCUUGUCAGGCGGGGAGUUUGACUGGGGCGGUACAUCUGUCAAACGGUAACGCAGGUGUCCUAAGGCGAGCUCAGUGAGGACGGAAACCUCACGUAGAGUAAAAGGGCAAAAGCUCGCUUGAUUUUGAUUUUCAGUACGAAUACAGACGGUGAAAGCCUGGCCUAUCGAUCCUUUUGACUUUAGGAGUUUUAAGCAAGAGGUGUCAGAAAAGUUACCACAGGGAUA